UACAGAUUAUUAGAGGUAUGGCAUUAUAUGCUCAGCACGGGAACCUUCACUAGAAUCUACAAGCACUUUUAAGUCUGAUAAUAUUUUUUUUAAAUGUAACCACCGGAUCUCUCUUUGAUUAACUGGAUACCUGGUAACUCUUUGCCCUUUAACCCAGUGUGUCGUAGUGUAGACAGUGAUAACACUUGUUUUAUACCUAAUCAGUGACAAGUUGAUCACAAAACUGAACCAUUGCUUUGACUCAAUACCAACUCAGGCCUGCAUAACAGAAAUGUUGUUUCAAGGAAAAUGACAAAUAAAAUAUAUACAAUAGUCGUAGAGUUACAGAUGCACCAGAGUUUUAAAUUGCUUUAGCUUUUAUGCACGUUCAGGCAAGUAACCCAUCUAAACCAGCAUGGCCUGCAGGAGGGCUACUGUCUGUCAUUAGAUAGUUAUACUGUCACACAUUGGGCUUCCAACUGCUUUGACGAAAGCAAAGCAUUCGAAAUAAUGAGAACAGAAAGAAAACACAUUAUAUACACAUAGUGACGGCCCUCUGCACGAGUAAUGUUUGAACAUACCGGUCGGCUGAGUUCCAGAGACUUAUGACUGUUAUAUUCCCCCAUAUUAGUCCCACGAACCCUGCGAACUCAAACACGUCAGCCCGGGAUGGAUACCAGAGCCACAUUUGGUGAAUACAAUGAUAAAUUGCAAGUAAUGCCUGCUGGCUAGCGACCAUCACCGCGAAGCCAAGAUCCUAACGUUAGGCCACAGGGCAUAGAUUAUUACCCGGGUUUCGUAAUGGACGUCAGUGUUGGGAAUCGCCGAGGUGAAAGCGUACAAAGAUACCCCCAUAUUGUUUCCCGGCCGUGACAGCGAGCUUAGGAAAAUGAACAUUAACGUUCUAUUGCGUGUUACCUGCUCCAUUGGUGGCAUUCUCGUCGAACGGCCCCGGUCUAAGUGUGCGCCAUCAUCACCGUGACGGCGUCACCGUCUCCCACAACACAAGACAGUCGACGAGCAAACUAGCCUUUACACAGCGGCCGUAGCGCCCCUAGUCUGUCCAUUUACGGCGGAUUUGUGGCCAGCAGUGAGCGAGACAGGCGAGGGGUGUCAGAUAGACACACUAUUUAGAUGCGGUUAUUGUGUCUUUUGAUAGACAAACUGCCAACUAGCUUUAGCUAGCAAGCUAGUUAGCCGGAACAGGCCGCCGUGCAAGUGAGCGGUCUCAGUGGGCGCCGGGCAUCAGCGCUACCUCUCAAACCUCUACACCGCUGGUACCGUGCCUCUUGGCGGCUUACUCGUUCGUCUUACUGCGACAACACGACUGGCAGAAUAAUGUUUGAAACAACGGUGUUUACCUGGGUUUAUCAGGUUGCCAGGGCGCGCGGGAUCUUUCUCUCCGAGGAUCCUGAACACCUCUCGUUGUCGGUGACGUCACGCGUC
Molecule: long non-coding RNA, 1425 nt
Organism: Gasterosteus aculeatus aculeatus (three-spined stickleback)
Lineage: Eukaryota; Metazoa; Chordata; Actinopteri; Perciformes; Gasterosteidae
Source: Ensembl